UUGACCUCAAAUCGGGUGAGACUACCCGCUGAACUUAAGCAUAUCAAUAAGCGGAGGAAAAGAAACUAACAAGGAUUCCCCUAGUAACUGCGAGUGAAGCGGGAAAAGCUCAAAUUUAAAAUCUGGCGGUCUCUGGCCGUCCGAGUUGUAAUUUAGAGAAGCGUCUUCCGCGCCGGGCCGUGCACAAGUCUCCUGGAAUGGAGCGUCAUAGAGGGUGAGAAUCCCGUCUUUGGCACGGAUGCCUGUGCUUCUGUGAUGCRCUCUCGAAGAGUCGAGUUGUUUGGGAAUGCAGCUCAAAAUGGGUGGUGAACUCCAUCUAAAGCUAAAUAUUGGCGAGAGACCGAUAGCGAACAAGUACCGUGAGGGAAAGAUGAAAAGCACUUUGGAAAGAGAGUGAAACAGUACGUGAAAUUGUUGAAAGGGAAACGCUUGAAGUCAGUCGCGUCGACCGAGACUCAGCCUUGCCUUGGCUUGGUGUACUUCUCGGCCCGACGGGUCAGCGUCAAUUUUGCCCCUCGGAUAAUGGCAAGGGAAAGGUGGCACCUUCGCGGGUGUGUUAUAGUCUCCUGUCGCAUGCGAGGGGUGGGAUUGAGGAACUCAGCGCGCACCUUGGUGUCGGGGCUUCGGCCCACGUCACGCGCUUAGGAUGCUGGCGUAAUGGCUUUAAACGACCCGUCUUGAAACACGGACCAAGGAGUCCAACACGCCCGCGAGUGUUCGGGUGGAAAACCCGUGCGCGCAAUGAAAGUGAAAGUUGGGACCUCUGUCGUGGAGGGCACCGACGCCCGGACCAGACCUUCUGUGACGGAUCUGCGGUAGAGCGUGCGUGUUGGGACCCGAAAGAUGGUGAACUAUGCCUGAAUAGGGUGAAGCCAGAGGAAACUCUGGUGGAGGCUCGUAGCGAUUCUGACGUGCAAAUCGAUCGUCAAAUUUGGGUAUAGGGGCGAAAGACUAAUCGAA
Molecule: ribosomal RNA, 960 nt
Filed under: Lactarius deliciosus
Lineage: Eukaryota; Fungi; Basidiomycota; Agaricomycetes; Russulales; Russulaceae
Description: eukaryotic LSU rRNA
Rfam family: Eukaryotic large subunit ribosomal RNA
Source: RNAcentral